RNAcentral lists this ribosomal RNA (388 nucleotides) under uncultured eukaryote. RNAcentral's name for it is "partial 18S ribosomal RNA". It matches the Rfam family "Eukaryotic small subunit ribosomal RNA", at positions 592 to 976 of the family's 1831-position model. The record is from RNAcentral.
CAAUAGCGUAUAUUAAAGUUGUUGCAGUUAAAAAGCUCGUAGUUGGAUUUCUGAUCGAGACAUCAGGUCGGGUCCGAGAGGAUCAUGUACUUUGAUUUUGUUUUGAUCAUCCUUGGGGAGAGCAUUUCUGGCAUUCAGUUGUCGGGAUUGGGAUCCUCAUCGUUUACUGUGAACAAAUUAGAGUGUUCAAAGCAGGCCUCGGCCUCUGAAUACAUUAGCAUGGAAUAAUAAGAUAGGACUUUGGUGGUCUAUUUUGUUGGUUUGCACGCCAAAGUAAUGAUUAAUAGGGAUAGUUGGGGGUAUUCGUAUUCAAUUGUCAGAGGUGAAAUUCUUGGAUUUAUGGAAGACGAACUACUGCGAAAGCAUUUACCAAGGAUGUUUUCAUUAA